Molecule: ribosomal RNA, 1283 nt
Filed under: uncultured bacterium
Lineage: Bacteria
Description: bacterial SSU rRNA
Rfam family: Bacterial small subunit ribosomal RNA
Source: RNAcentral
GAACGAAGACUGUAGUAAUACUGUCUUAGUGGCGAACGGGUGAGUAACGCGUGGGUGACCUGCCCCGAAGUGUGGGAUAACAGUCCGAAAGGAUUGCUAAUACUGCAUAAUAUCCAAGAGAUUAGAUGCUUUUGGAUUAAAGGAGUAAUUCGCUUGGGGAGGGGCCCGCGUCCCAUCAGCUAGUUGGUAAGGUAAUGGCUUACCAAGGCGAUGACGGGUAGGGGACCUGAGAGGGUGGCCCCCCACAAUGGAACUGAAACACGGUCCAUACACCUACGGGUGGCAGCAGUAGGGAAUAUUAGUAAUGGGCGAAACCUGAACUAGCAACGCCGCGUGUGCGAAGAAGGCCUUCGGGUCGUAAAGCACUUUUUGAGAGGAUGAGGAAGGACGGUACUCUCAGAAUAAGUCUCGGCUAACUACGUGCCAGCAGCCGCGGUAACACGUAGGAGGCAAACGUUAUCCGGAUUUACUGGGCGUAAAGCGCGUGUAGGUGGUUUGGUAAGUAGGGCGUGAAAGCUCCUGGCUCAACUGGGAGAGGACGUUCUAAACUGCCAAGCUUGAGGAUGGUAGAGGGAGGUGGAAUUCCGGGUGUAGCGGUGGAAUGCGCAGAUAUCCGGAGGAACACCAGUGGCGAAGGCGGCCUCCUGGACCACUCCUGACACUCAGACGCGAAAGCUAGGGUAGCAAACGGGAUUAGAGACCCCGGUAGUCCUAGCCCUAAACGAUGUAGACUUGGCGUCGGUGGUUUAAUCGCCAUCGGUGUCGUAGCUAACGCGAUAAGUCUACCGCCUAGGGACUACGGCCGCAAGGUUAAAACUCAAAGGAAUUGACGGGGACCCGCACAAGCGGUGGAUGAUGUGGUUUAAUUCGAUGCAACGCGAAAAACCUUACCCACCUUUGACAUGUACGGAAUCCUUUAGAGAUAGAGGAGUGCUCGAAAGAGAACCGUAACACAGGUGCUGCAUGGCUGUCGUCAGCUCGUGUCGUGAGAUGUUCGGUUAAGUCCGCUAACGAGCGUAACCCUCGCUGUGUGUUACAAGUGUCACACGGUACUGCCGAUAUUAAGUCGGAGGAAGGUGGGGAUGACGUCAAGUCAGCAUGACCUUUAUAUCCAGGGCUACACACACGCUACAAUGGCCAGUACAAUGGGUUGCCAAGCGCGAGGCGGAGCCAAUCCCUAAAAAGCUGGCCCCAGUUCAGAUUGCAGUCUGCAACUCGACUGCAUGAAGUUGGAGUUGCUAGUAACCGCAGGUCAGCAAUACUGCGGUGAAUACGUUCCCGGG